AGGGGAAUAUUGGACAAUGGGCGAAAGCCUGAUCCAGCCAUGCCGCGUGUGUGAAGAAGGUCUUCGGAUUGUAAAGCACUUUAAGUUGGGAGGAAGGGCAGUAAGCGAAUACCUUGCUGUUUUGACGUUACCGACAGAAUAAGCACCGGCUAACUCUGUGCCAGCAGCCGCGGUAAUACAGAGGGUGCAAGCGUUAAUCGGAAUUACUGGGCGUAAAGCGCGCGUAGGUGGUUCGUUAAGUUGAAUGUGAAAGCCCCGGGCUCAACCUGGGAACUGCAUCGAAAACUGGCGAGCUAGAGUAGGGCAGAGGGUGGUGGAAUUUCCUGUGUAGCGGUGAAAUGCGUAGAUAUAGGAAGGAACACCAGUGGCGAAGGCGACCACCUGGGCUCAUACUGACACUGAGGUGCGAAAGCGUGGGGAGCAAACAGG
This 429-nucleotide ribosomal RNA is filed under the name Pseudomonadota bacterium. RNAcentral describes it as "Proteobacteria bacterium partial 16S ribosomal RNA". It matches the Rfam family "Bacterial small subunit ribosomal RNA", at positions 355 to 776 of the family's 1533-position model. The record is from RNAcentral. Lineage: Bacteria; Pseudomonadati; Pseudomonadota.